This 429-nucleotide ribosomal RNA is filed under the name Bacteroidota bacterium. RNAcentral describes it as "Bacteroidetes bacterium partial 16S ribosomal RNA". It matches the Rfam family "Bacterial small subunit ribosomal RNA", at positions 355 to 776 of the family's 1533-position model. Lineage: Bacteria; Pseudomonadati; Bacteroidota. The record is from RNAcentral.
UAGGGAAUCUUCCGCAAUGGACGCAAGUCUGACGGAGCAACGCCGCGUGAGUGAAGAAGGAUUUCGGUUCGUAAAACUCUGUUGUUAGAGAAGAACAGCGCAUAGAGUAACUGUUAUGCGUGUGACGGUAUCUAACCAGAAAGCCACGGCUAACUACGUGCCAGCAGCCGCGGUAAUACGUAGGUGGCAAGCGUUGUCCGGAUUUAUUGGGCGUAAAGCGAGCGCAGGCGGUCAAUUAAGUCUGAUGUGAAAGCCCCCGGCUCAACCGGGGAGGGUCAUUGGAAACUGGUUGACUUGAGUGCAGAAGAGGAGAGUGGAAUUCCAUGUGUAGCGGUGAAAUGCGCAGAGGUAUGGAGGAACACCAGUGGCGAAGGCGACUUUCUGGUCUGUAACUGACGCUGAUGUGCGAAAGCGUGGGGAUCAAACAGG